RNAcentral lists this transfer RNA (69 nucleotides) under Bos taurus (domestic cattle). It matches the Rfam family "tRNA". From Rfam's summary of the family: Transfer RNA (tRNA) molecules are approximately 80 nucleotides in length. Their secondary structure includes four short double-helical elements and three loops (D, anti-codon, and T loops). The record is from Rfam by way of RNAcentral. Lineage: Eukaryota; Metazoa; Chordata; Mammalia; Artiodactyla; Bovidae. RNAcentral also lists the same sequence under 1 other name.
CCUGGUGGCUCAGACUGUAAAGUGUCUGCCUGCAAUGCAGGGGACCCGGGUUCAAUUCCUGGGUCAGGA